This 205-nucleotide ribosomal RNA is filed under the name uncultured bacterium. RNAcentral describes it as "partial 16S ribosomal RNA". It matches the Rfam family "Bacterial small subunit ribosomal RNA", at positions 524 to 726 of the family's 1533-position model. The record is from RNAcentral.
UACGUAGGGUGCGAGCGUUGUCCGGAAUUAUUGGGCGUAAAGAGCUCGUAGGCGGUCUGUCGCGUCUGCUGUGAAAUCCCGAGGCUCAACCUCGGGCUUGCAGUGGGUACGGGGCAGACUAGAGUGCGGUAGGGGGAGACUGGAAUUCCUGGUGUAGCGGUGAAAUGCGCAGAUAUCAGGAGGAACACCGGUGGCGAAGGCGGGU